AGACGGGGGGUGCUAGCGUUGUUCGGAAUUACUGGGCGUAAAGGGCGCGUAGGCGGCUCUGCGAGUCGGGCGUGAAAUCCCGGGGCUCAACCCCGGAACGGCGCUCGAUACUGCGGGGCUGGAGACCGGAAGAGGAGGGUGGAAUUCCCAGUGUAGAGGUGAAAUUCGUAGAUAUUGGGAGGAACACCGGUGGCGAAAGUGGCUCUCUGGUCCGGUUCUGACGCUGAGGCGCGAAAGCGUGGGGAGCAAACAGGAUUAGAAACCCUAGUAGUCC
This 274-nucleotide ribosomal RNA is filed under the name uncultured bacterium. RNAcentral's name for it is "partial 16S ribosomal RNA". It matches the Rfam family "Bacterial small subunit ribosomal RNA", at positions 523 to 796 of the family's 1533-position model. The record is from RNAcentral.